This is a microRNA precursor of Chlorocebus sabaeus (green monkey), 109 nucleotides long. Ensembl annotates it as microRNA 592. Its record names the gene MIR592. The record is from Ensembl. Lineage: Eukaryota; Metazoa; Chordata; Mammalia; Primates; Cercopithecidae.
UGAUAUUAUGCCAUGACAUUGUGUCAAUAUGCGAUGAUGUGUUGUGAUGGCACAGCGUCAUCACGUGGUGACGCAACAUCAUGACGUAAGACGUCACAACGCCAGUUAA